UACAGAGGUCCCAAGCGUUGUUCGGAUUCACUGGGCGUAAAGGGUGCGUAGGCGGUCGGGUAAGUCUGAUGUGAAAUCUCCAAGCUCAACUUGGAAAUGGCAUCGGAUACUAUUCGGCUCGAGGAAUGGAGGGGAGACUGGAAUACUUGGUGUAGCAGUGAAAUGCGCAGAUAUCAGGAGGAACACCGGUGGCGAAGGCGGGUCUCUGGGCCGAUACUGACGCUGAGGAGCGAAAGCGUGGGGAGCGAACAGG
RNAcentral lists this ribosomal RNA (253 nucleotides) under uncultured bacterium. RNAcentral describes it as "partial 16S ribosomal RNA". It matches the Rfam family "Bacterial small subunit ribosomal RNA", at positions 524 to 776 of the family's 1533-position model. The record is from RNAcentral.